RNAcentral lists this long non-coding RNA (284 nucleotides) under Chinchilla lanigera (long-tailed chinchilla). RNAcentral describes it as "lncRNA (ENSCLAG00000022329.1)". Lineage: Eukaryota; Metazoa; Chordata; Mammalia; Rodentia; Chinchillidae. The record is from RNAcentral.
GAAGCACCAGGACUCUCUCUCUCCAGCUACACAAACCAUACUGUUAUGGAAAUCUGAAAGUUCCAGGAGAAAGCUUGGAUGGACAAAAGCUGCUGCCACUAUGUCAUCACGGAGGAGCAUGGGAUACAAGAGAUAUGUCUGAGAUGCCAGAGGUCUUGGACAAGUUCAGAAUGCAGGAGCUGUGGCUUCUGUCACCUACCAUAACAAGGAAAUGACAGGAGGGAAAAUUCUUCUUCAGGUAUGUGAUUCUGAAACCAUAUGACAGGAUGUGGGAGAUAGUGAAC